UCAGGGGGCCCGAGGCAGCCGCGUGUCUUUCGGGACGCGAGGAAAGUCCGGGCUCCACGAAACAAGGGUGGCGGGUAACGCCCGCCGGUCCUGUCUUCGGGCAGGGCAAGGGAAAGUGCCACAGAGAGCAAACCGCCGAUGGCCUCGCAAGAGGGACAGGCAAGGGUGAAAGGGUGCGGUAAGAGCGCACCGGGGGGCCGGCAACGGCAACCGCAUGGCAAACCCCACCCGGAGCAAGGCCGAAUAGGGGUCUCGCGCCCGCCGCAAGGCAGGGUAGGCGUGUUUCGCGCCGAGAGACCCGGGUUGGCUGCUAGAGCCGUCGAGCAAUCGGCGGAGCAGAUGAAUGGCUGCCACCGCGCGGCCGGUCCCUUCGGGGAUACCGCGUGCGGAUACAGAACCCGGCUUAUGACGGCCCCCUGACGUU
RNAcentral lists this RNase P RNA (424 nucleotides) under Erythrobacter neustonensis. RNAcentral's name for it is "Porphyrobacter neustonensis RNase P RNA component class A". It matches the Rfam family "Bacterial RNase P class A". From Rfam's summary of the family: Ribonuclease P (RNase P) is a ubiquitous endoribonuclease, found in archaea, bacteria and eukarya as well as chloroplasts and mitochondria. Its best characterised activity is the generation of mature 5'-ends of tRNAs by cleaving the 5'-leader elements of precursor-tRNAs. Lineage: Bacteria; Pseudomonadati; Pseudomonadota; Alphaproteobacteria; Sphingomonadales; Erythrobacteraceae. The record is from RNAcentral.